RNAcentral lists this microRNA (25 nucleotides) under Bombyx mori (domestic silkworm). Its description in RNAcentral is "bmo-miR-3297-3p". The record is from miRBase by way of RNAcentral. Lineage: Eukaryota; Metazoa; Arthropoda; Insecta; Lepidoptera; Bombycidae.
UAACUUAUGCAAUAUUUCUGACUCA